This 1158-nucleotide ribosomal RNA is filed under the name uncultured Microbacterium sp. RNAcentral describes it as "bacterial SSU rRNA". It matches the Rfam family "Bacterial small subunit ribosomal RNA", at positions 262 to 1430 of the family's 1533-position model. Lineage: Bacteria; Bacillati; Actinomycetota; Actinomycetes; Micrococcales; Microbacteriaceae. The record is from RNAcentral.
GGCUCACCAAGGCGUCGACGGGUAGCCGGCCUGAGAGGGUGACCGGCCACACUGGGACUGAGACACGGCCCAGACUCCUACGGGAGGCAGCAGUGGGGAAUAUUGCACAAUGGGCGCAAGCCUGAUGCAGCAACGCCGCGUGAGGGAUGACGGCCUUCGGGUUGUAAACCUCUUUUAGCAGGGAAGAAGCGAGAGUGACGGUACCUGCAGAAAAAGCACCGGCUAACUACGUGCCAGCAGCCGCGGUAAUACGUAGGGUGCAAGCGUUAUCCGGAAUUAUUGGGCGUAAAGAGCUCGUAGGCGGUUUGUCGCGUCUGCUGUGAAAUCUGGGGGCUCAACCCCCAGCCUGCAGUGGGUACGGGCAGACUAGAGUGCGGUAGGGGAGAUUGGAAUUCCUGGUGUAGCGGUGGAAUGCGCAGAUAUCAGGAGGAACACCGAUGGCGAAGGCAGAUCUCUGGGCCGUAACUGACGCUGAGGAGCGAAAGGGUGGGGAGCAAACAGGCUUAGAUACCCUGGUAGUCCACCCCGUAAACGUUGGGAACUAGUUGUGGGGUCCAUUCCACGGAUUCCGUGACGCAGCUAACGCAUUAAGUUCCCCGCCUGGGGAGUACGGCCGCAAGGCUAAAACUCAAAGGAAUUGACGGGGACCCGCACAAGCGGCGGAGCAUGCGGAUUAAUUCGAUGCAACGCGAAGAACCUUACCAAGGCUUGACAUAUACGAGAACGGGCCAGAAAUGGUCAACUCUUUGGACACUCGUAAACAGGUGGUGCAUGGUUGUCGUCAGCUCGUGUCGUGAGAUGUUGGGUUAAGUCCCGCAACGAGCGCAACCCUCGUUCUAUGUUGCCAGCACGUAAUGGUGGGAACUCAUGGGAUACUGCCGGGGUCAACUCGGAGGAAGGUGGGGAUGACGUCAAAUCAUCAUGCCCCUUAUGUCUUGGGCUUCACGCAUGCUACAAUGGCCGGUACAAUGGGCUGCAAUACCGUGAGGUGGAGCGAAUCCCAAAAAGCCGGUCCCAGUUCGGAUUGAGGUCUGCAACUCGACCUCAUGAAGUCGGAGUCGCUAGUAAUCGCAGAUCAGCAACGCUGCGGUGAAUACGUUCCCGGGUCUUGUACACACCGCCCGUCAAGUCAUGAAAGUCGGUAACACCUGAAGCCGG